GAUGAACGCUGGCGGCGUGCCUAAUACAUGCAAGUCGAGCGAACAGACGAGGAGCUUGCUCCUCUGACGUUAGCGGCGGACGGGUGAGUAACACGUGGAUAACCUACCUAUAAGACUGGGAUAACUUCGGGAAACCGGAGCUAAUACCGGAUAAUAUAUUGAACCGCAUGGUUCAAUAGUGAAAGACGGUUUUGCUGUAACUUAUAGAUGGAUACGCGCCGCAUUAGCUAGUUGGUAAGGUAACGGCUUACCAAGGCGACGAUGCGUAGCCGACCUGAGAGGGUGAUCGGCCACACUGGAACUGAAACACGGUCCAGACUCCUACGGGAGGCAGCAGUAGGGAAUCUUCCGCAAUGGGCGAAAGCCUUACGGAGCAACGCCGCGUGAGUGAUGAAGGUCUUCGGAUCGUAAAACUCUGUUAUUAGGUAAAAACAAAUGUGUAAGUAACUAUGCACGUCUUGACGGUACCGAAUCAGAAAGCCACGGCUAACUACGUG
This 497-nucleotide ribosomal RNA is filed under the name uncultured bacterium. RNAcentral describes it as "partial 16S ribosomal RNA". It matches the Rfam family "Bacterial small subunit ribosomal RNA", at positions 28 to 507 of the family's 1533-position model. The record is from RNAcentral.